RNAcentral lists this ribosomal RNA (466 nucleotides) under uncultured bacterium. RNAcentral's name for it is "partial 16S ribosomal RNA". It matches the Rfam family "Bacterial small subunit ribosomal RNA", at positions 28 to 507 of the family's 1533-position model. The record is from RNAcentral.
GAUGAACGCUGGCGGCGUGCUUAACACAUGCAAGUCGAACGAUGAAGCCCAGCUUGCUGGGUGGAUUAGUGGCGAACGGGUGAGUAACACGUGAGUAACCUGCCCUUAACUCUGGGAUAAGCCUGGGAAACUGGGUCUAAUACCGGAUAGGAGCGUCCACCGCAUGGUGGGUGUUGGAAAGAUUUAUCGGUUUUGGAUGGACUCGCGGCCUAUCAGCUUGUUGGUGAGGUAAUGGCUCACCAAGGCGACGACGGGUAUCCGGCCUGAGAGGGUGACCGGCCACACGGGGACUGAGACACGGCCCAGACUCCUACGGGAGGCAGCAGUGGGGAAUAUUGCACAAUGGGCGCAAGCCUGAUGCAGCGACGCCGCGUGAGGGAUGACGGCCUUCGGGUUGUAAACCUCUUUCAGUAGGGAAGAAGCGAAAGUGACGGUACCUGCAGAAGAAGCACCGGCUAACUACGUG